This 811-nucleotide ribosomal RNA is filed under the name uncultured euryarchaeote. RNAcentral describes it as "bacterial SSU rRNA". It matches the Rfam family "Archaeal small subunit ribosomal RNA", at positions 48 to 859 of the family's 1478-position model. Lineage: Archaea; Methanobacteriati; Methanobacteriota. The record is from RNAcentral.
GCCAUGCUAGUUGCACGAGUUGAGACUCGUAGCAGAUAGCUCAGUAACACGUGGCCAAACUACCCUAUGGAUCCGGACAACCUCGGGAAACUGAGGCUAAUCCGGAAUACGACUCUCAGCCUGGAAGUGGCGGGAGUCAGAAACGCCCCGGCGCCAUAGGAUGUGGCUGCGGCCGAUUAGGUAGACGGUGGGGUAACGGCCCACCGUGCCCAUAAUCGGUACGGGUUGUGAGAGCAAGAACCCGGAGACGGUAUCUGAGACAAGAUACCGGGCCCUACGGGGCGCAGCAGGCGCGAAACCUUUACACUGCACGAAAGUGCGAUAAGGGGACUCCAAGUGCGAGGGCAUAUAGUCCUCGCUUUUCACCACCGUAAGGAGGUGGUAGAAUAAGUGCUGGGCAAGACCGGUGCCAGCCGCCGCGGUAAUACCGGCAGCACGAGUGAUGACCGCUCUUAUUGGGCCUAAAGCGUCCGUAGCUGGCCACGCAAGUCUAUCGGGAAAUCCGCGCGCUCAACGCGCGGGCGUCCGGUGGAAACUGUGUGGCUUGGGACCGGAAGAUCCAGAGGGUACGUCUGGGGUAGGAGUGAAAUCCCGUAAUCCUGGACGGACCACCGGUGGCGAAAGCGCUCUGGAAAGACGGAUCCGACGGUGAGGGACGAAAGCUCGGGUCACGAACCGGAUUAGGUACCCGGGUAGUCCGAGCUGUAAACGAUGUCUGCUAGGUGUGCCACAGGCUACGAGCCUGUGGUGUGCCGUAGGGAAGCCGUGAAGCAGACCGCCUGGGAAGUACGUCCGCAAGGAUGAAACUUAA